ACUCCUGGAGUCAACAUAUUAAAAUCUUUCAGACGGCACUGGAGCUUUUCUUUUUCCCUUCUUGUAACACUUGAUCUUUUAAAUUUUAGCUGGAAUAACUCUAGGGUUGGCGGAACUUCCUAAGCAAUAAGGCAGGCGGUUUUUCAGGAAUAUCUUGUUCCUCAUAAGAAUUAUUAUUUUAGAAAUAAGCAACUUUGUUUAGAAUAUCCCAGUUUUCUAUUUUACACUCCG
RNAcentral lists this long non-coding RNA (231 nucleotides) under Phoenix dactylifera (date palm). Its description in RNAcentral is "long non-coding RNA (PDAC_LNC021548)". The record is from RNAcentral. Lineage: Eukaryota; Viridiplantae; Streptophyta; Magnoliopsida; Arecales; Arecaceae.